CACCGCUGAGAGAUGGACUCGCGUCCGAUUAGCUAGUUGGUGAGAUAAAGGCCCACCAAGGCGACGAUCGGUAGCCGGACUGAGAGGUUGAACGGCCACAUUGGGACUGAGACACGGCCCAGACUCCUACGGGAGGCAGCAUG
RNAcentral lists this ribosomal RNA (143 nucleotides) under uncultured bacterium. RNAcentral's name for it is "partial 16S ribosomal RNA". It matches the Rfam family "Bacterial small subunit ribosomal RNA", at positions 213 to 353 of the family's 1533-position model. The record is from RNAcentral.